UCUGGCCAACUUAAUUUGAAACGUUGACUGGAUAUGCACAUAUAAGUUUACAAGCACACAAGUUGGCUUGGUGGUUGGUGCAUGCGUGCUAUAACGUGCAGAUGUUGGAGUGCACAUGAAAUGAUAGCGCCAUUUUGAUCAUCAGUCAAGCUUCAGGACAGCUUCAUCAACCCUUCAAACAUCAGCGUUUAAAGUAAGCAUCUUUAUUCAUUUUAUUAUAUUUUUUAUAAUGUUGAACUGUUUGUAAUGUUUGUGAAACAUCAGUGUGAGCAUUAAACAUUGUUUGCGACAUGCAAAUGUAUCUAAUGUUGGAGUUUUUAAUGCCAAUAAAAUGUACAAUUGUUUUUGACCUGGUUUUGAAAGUCAUAACUAAGAAAUGUAGUGUCACUGGUCAAGCUUAUUAAUUCAAAGCAAGUUUGCAUGAACGCAGUGCCGGCGUUAAGGAGGGCAAACCCAAAGAGGUUGUUGUGCUGCGUUACAGUUUUUAAUUCAUUUAAUAUAUUAGAUAUUAGAAAAUGGCUCGUUGGUUCUACUUCUGCAAGACCUUCUUCAGGUUUAGAAUGUACUCCUAUCAUUCAGCCUCUCAGCCAGCACCACCUAUUCAAUCUGACAUCACGGAAACACCUGUUAGCACAAACUCGGAAACUGGGGCUAAUGGAGCCAAGGCGUAAUUUUCAAAUCUACAGGCCGUGGAUGAUCUCAUGAUCGAUCAACCUAAUCAAGAAAAUUAAAACAGUACCCUGCACGCAUGUUCGGUGGCAAAAAAAAAAAACUUGCUUUUUUUGUCUAGUUGGUACAUUAAUCAAAACUGGCUUAAGUAAGCGUAAAAGCUAAUUCUGCAUUUUUUUUUUUUGCUGUCGUAAAUGUAAUGUUGGCACGAGCCGUGUGGAAGCGUUUGUGAACGCUGGAUACCGUAAUUAUUUUGUGAUUUUCUUUACAGUAAAUGAGCUGACAGUGUGUACUAGUUGUAUGUGUGUGCCCUUGCACUGUAUUGGUUUUUUAUGCCUCGUUUUUGCAAGUUAUUGUUGCUGAUUAGUUAGUUAUGGUCUGGCGCCGGCUCUGCAUGAACGUUCUUAUCAAGGUAAAAAUAUGUCGCAAUCCCAGUUUUAUAUCUUGCAAAUCUAACUUCAUGGUUUGCAAUGGCUUUAUUUACCACAGUUAUUGGAAAAAAUGUGCGGGCAGGAGAUCAUGACGAACUAAUCAACCCAAACUUCAUUGUUUAUCAAAGACACAUCUCCAGCAGACCAGAGGGAUGAAAAUGGGAAUUCUUGUUCUAACCGAGGAUGAUGUCGCCCCUAGCACACCGCCUACCAUUACAAACUUUGCUGUUGUUUUGGAGGAGGAAGUUGUUCUGAAAGACAUUUCAGACCUGCAAUCUGCUGUUUCUUACCUGUUUGGCCUUAUCUUCGCCUUGGAUUUUCAGUACCCAAAAGAACUCAAAUAUACUUUUGAGUGUGGCUGGAUUAUCUGAAGUGUAGGAAACACGACUCUAAUCUGUGGCAGUGUCCAUCUUCACCCUGGGGACAGAACAGAUGUGAUAAUAGUGAUGAGGUGGCACAUAUUACCUGCACAGGUGGUCCACAAGAACACUGGUCUCUCAGGCUGAGUGGAGGAAAGGGAAGCUGCUCUGGGAGGUUGGAGGUGUAUCAUAACGCUACAUGGGGCUCCGUUUGUGAUGAUCAGUGGAACAUCAGGAACGCUCAGGUGGUGUGCAGACAGCUGGGCACAGCGUGGCCUACACACAUGACCACCACAGACUGCAAUACACACAAACACAGGGACUGUCAUUCUGUUCACCAGCUGAUCAUAAACACCUGAACUCCAUCUCCCACUCACCACACAUAGAAUAUAAAGCUUCUCCCAACACCAGUUCCAUACUGGAU
Long non-coding RNA from Silurus meridionalis, 1883 nucleotides. RefSeq lists it as uncharacterized. The transcript is spliced from 4 exons. NCBI's taxonomy places the organism in Eukaryota, Metazoa, Chordata, Actinopteri, Siluriformes, Siluridae. The record is from RefSeq and is a predicted model, not a curated record.